Molecule: ribosomal RNA, 480 nt
Filed under: uncultured bacterium
Lineage: Bacteria
Description: partial 16S ribosomal RNA
Rfam family: Bacterial small subunit ribosomal RNA
Source: RNAcentral
UGGGGAAUAUUGCACAAUGGGCGCAAGCCUGAUGCAACCAUGCCGCGUGUGUGAAGAAGGCCUUCGGGUUGUAAAGCACUUUCAGCGAGGAGGAAGGUGGUGAACUUAAUACGUUCAUCAAUUGACGUUACUCGCAGAAGAAGCACCGGCUAACUCCGUGCCAGCAGCCGCGGUAAUACGGAGGAUGCAAGCGUUAAUCGGAAUUACUGGGCGUAAAGCGCACGCAGGCGGUUUGUUAAGUCAGAUGUGAAAUCCCCGGGCUCAACCUGGGAACUGCAUUUGAAACUGGCAAGCUAGAGUCUCGUAGAGGGGGGUAGAAUUCCAGGUGUAGCGGUGAAAUGCGUAGAGAUCUGGAGGAAUACCGGUGGCGAAGGCGGCCCCCUGGACGAAGACUGACGCUCAGGUGCGAAAGCGUGGGGAGCAAACAGGAUUAGAUACCCUGGUAGUCCACGCUGUAAACGAUGUCGAUUUGGAGGUUGU